GGGGCUGUGGCUCAGUGGAAGAGCAUCUGUGUGGCAUGCAGAAGGCCUCAGGUUCAAUUCCAAGUGUUUCUA
Molecule: transfer RNA, 72 nt
Filed under: Sphaerodactylus townsendi
Lineage: Eukaryota; Metazoa; Chordata; Lepidosauria; Squamata; Sphaerodactylidae
Description: tRNA-Ala
Rfam family: tRNA
About the family: Transfer RNA (tRNA) molecules are approximately 80 nucleotides in length. Their secondary structure includes four short double-helical elements and three loops (D, anti-codon, and T loops).
Source: RNAcentral